RNAcentral lists this long non-coding RNA (482 nucleotides) under Malus domestica (apple). Its description in RNAcentral is "long non-coding RNA (MDOM_LNC005257)". The record is from RNAcentral. Lineage: Eukaryota; Viridiplantae; Streptophyta; Magnoliopsida; Rosales; Rosaceae.
UUUUUCCUGCAAGUUUCAUUCUUUGGAUGGCUGCAAAUUUGAGUGUUGGGGCAUGAUGGAGACGGGUGGAACCUUCUUGAUUUUCGAUUUGGAGGCUUCUUUUGGGUGGAUUCUGGUGCCUGCAAGAGGCAGUGGUUCGUGGUCGGCGGUGUUGGCGGCGGCUGAGUACUUAGGGUUUUUGGCUUUUGUUUUGUUUUGCUUUGACUCAUCCGUUUGGUUGGGCCUGCUGGGGGAUUCAAAUUUUAGUAUUGGACUUUAUUUGUAAUUGGAUCCCAAUUUGUAAAUAUUUUUUUUUGUUGUGGUAAUGAAUUAUUACCUUUGGACCCCCAAAAAAAAAAUGGUGGACAUACCAUGGAAAGAAUUUACAGCUAGUGUUAAGAGCAUUUAUUUACGGAAGCACAUUAUACAAGUGUCCGAUCCCCUACCGCUUGUAUUAAGAAAAUGAAAAUAAAGUAAUAGUAUAUCGUGCAUAUAUGAGCAAC